ACUGUGGGAGUUGUAGGCCGCAGCGAGCGGGUAGCGUCCGGUGGGGCUUAACUUUACGCUGUGGCCAGAGACCCGGAAUCUGUUUUCGGAGCUGCUGCUCCUCGGUUAGAGAGUUGGAGGCCACGGUGGCGGGGCGAUGCGAGACAGCGGGCCGCUGGGGCUAGCCGGUCUGGCGCUGCUCCUCGUGGCCUCCGGGGCGGGAACAAGGCCGCGGCCCACCACCCCCGGGGCCCAGCCCCGAUCUAAUGUGGUGUUGGUGGCCUGCGACUCCUUGGAUGGACGCUUGACAUUUUUGCCAGGAAAUCAGACUGUGGAUUUACCUUCCAUAAAUUUUAUGAAAAGACAUGGCACUGUCUUUCUCAAUGCCUACACCAAUUCUCCAAUUUGUUGUCCUUCCCGUGCAGCUAUGUGGAGUGGUCUUUUCACUCAUAUAACAGAAUCUUGGAAUAACUUCAAAGGUCUAGAUCCAGAUUAUGUAACAUGGAUGGAUCUCAUGGAGGAGCAUGGCUACCAUACGCAGAAGAUUGGGAAAUUGGACUUUACUUCUGGACAUCAUUCAGUAAGUAACCGUGUGGAAGCUUGGACUAGGGAUGUUAACUUCCUGCUCCGACAAGAAGGAAGACCCAUGGUGAAACUUACAGGCCAUAGGAAGCAGUUUAGAGUAAUGGAAACAGAUUGGCGGAAUACUGACAAAGCAGUAAAUUGGAUAAAGGAAGAAGCUGUUAACUUUACUCAACCAUUCAUUCUUUACUUGGGACUAAAUUUACCACACCCGUAUCCAUCACCCUAUGCAGGAGAAAAUUUUGGAUCCUCUACAUUUUUAACAUCUCCCUAUUGGCUUGAAAAGGUAAAUUAUGAAGCUAUUAAAAUACCCAAGUGGUCUUCUCUUUCAGAGAUGCAUCCAGUAGACUAUUACUCAUCGUACACCAAGAAUUGCACAGGAGAGUUUACAAAGGAAGAAGUGAGAAAUAUUAGAGCAUUUUAUUAUGCUAUGUGUGCAGAGACAGAUGCCAUGCUGGGUGAGGUUAUUUCAGCUCUGCGAGAUACUGGGCUUCUUGGAAAAACAAUCAUUAUAUUCACUGCAGAUCAUGGAGAACUUGCUAUGGAACACCGUCAGUUCUAUAAAAUGAGCAUGUAUGAAGGAAGUUCCCACAUUCCUCUUUUAGUUAUGGGGCCAGGUUUAAGAGAACAGCACCAAAUACCAAAUGUAGUAUCUCUUGUGGAUAUCUAUCCUACUAUGCUUGAUAUAGCAAGAAUUCCUGUCCCACAGAACCUCAGUGGAUAUUCUCUUAUACCACUGCUACGUGAAAAAGCUGAGAGCGAAGCGUCACCCAGAGGACCUCGGCCCUCAUGGGUGCUGAGUGAGUUCCAUGGGUGCAAUGUCAAUUCCUCUGUGUAUAUGCUGAGAACUGGCAAGUGGAAAUACAUCACAUACUCGGAUGGCUCUUCAGUACUGCCCCAACUCUUUGACCUUACUGCUGAUCCAGAUGAGCUUACAAAUCUUGCCAUAAAAUUCCCAGUAACUGUACGUUCUUUGGACAAAAUACUUCGCUCUAUAGUAAACUAUCCAAAGGUUUCUACUUCUGUUCAAGAGUAUAAUAAACAACAGUUUAUCAGUUGGAAACAAAGUUUGGGUCAUAAUUACUCAAGUGUUAUUGCAAACCUUAGGUGGCAUCAAGACUGGUUAAAGGACCCAAAAAAGUAUGAGAAUGCAAUUGACAAGUGGCUUGGUUACAAUAGGUCCUGCUAAAAGGACUCUACUGUCUAUAAUUGCCCCCUGAGUGCAGAAGGAAGUUUGAAUAUUUUUAAAGGAAGAGGAAAAUGCAGUUGGUUAGUGGUGCUUGUGGGAAGUUGCUCUUAUUAUUGGGGAUGAAACAGCAGAAUGGAAAGAAAUUGAACAACCUGGGUGAAUGUAUUUUUAAAGAGAAUUACAGAAUCAUAGAAUAUUCUGAGUUGGAAGGGAGCCAGAAGGAUCAUUAAGUGCAGCUCCUGACCCUGCAAAGCAGCAUCCUCAAGAGUCACGCCGUGUGCCCAAGAGUGUUGUGCAAGCACUUCCUGAACUCUGUCAGGCUUGGUGCUUCCCUGGAGAGCCUGUUCCAGAGCCCAACCACCCUCCGGGUUGGGUGAGGUGAGUGGAGGAGAACCCAGAAGUAAUUAAGAAGUGGCUCAGGAAAGUGUGGCUCCUUGGGAGCACACUGUCAGGAAGAUUGGCACAGCAAAUUGAGAGGAUGCCUGACUCACACAAUCACUUCUGAGAGGAAGAGCCUCUUCCACUGACUCCUAUGAGUUAUCUGCAUGAGCUCCAUGUGCUGCAAAUAUUUACCUCCUCAGUGAACUAGGUGUUGACUUAUAGCAACAGGCUUUCUAAAAAGGAAAUUUUGACUUUGAAGAAGAUGUCUGACAUUCAUUAUGGUUUUAAUAGUCUGGAGAAAAUCUGAAUGCUAUCCUGUAGUUAUCUAAAUAUGUGAGUAAGUGAACUUAUAUUGAGAGGUGGAAGGUAAACGCUGCAAUGUCAUAAAGAAAAUCUCUUCCUUAAUAUUUUUUGCUGCAGAAUUUUGUCUUUCAAAAGCUGCUUUUGUUGAGGAAACUAGAUUUAAUUUUGUAGACUUCAUGAUGUUUACUGGCACCCACCAGAAAAAAAAAACAUUAAAAUUUAAUCAAAAGCUAAUGGUCAAAGGUAAUGAAGAGCUGCAGCUCCCAUCUUUCUGCAUCAGAGGGAGCAAUCAUUCAUUGCUGCUCUGAAAAGUAGACUCAGCAGGUCCAAAAUUGGGUUAUAAGAGCUGAGGUACCAAAGGCAUAAGGUAUCAUAAAGACAGUCUUGGCUAUGUGGAUUUGUGAUGUAUCCAGUUUUUUAGACACUUUGUCCAAUAUUGUGCUUGUGUUUGCUUGCACUGAAAUAAGGAUGUGUUUGAAGCUUUAGAGAAUUUAAACAUAGAUACUGAGGUCACCCUUAAGCCUUGGCUUGUGCCUGUGCGAGAGUCUGCCUUUCAGGUCUCGUGGGAAGUUGAGCAUAAGGAUGACAAUUUAGGCUCCUGUGGCAUUGAGCAGAGCCAAGGGCACCCCUGAGCAUGUCGGCAGGACAAAGAGAGGAGAUGAACUCUAAUGUGCACUUGUUUGGACACUGUGUACACAAAACUGUAGAUUUUCUGGGGAUUAGCGCUGUCUAAGGCAAAUUUCAUAUCAACGUAUCUCAGGACUUGUCAGUGUCUUCAGGCAGAAUGGUACCUGUGACCAUUAAAGAUUCUUGAUAUCCUUAAAAUUUGAGUGGCCUCUUAAUUAAUGAAGUGAAACAGAAAGAAAAUAAUUAACUGAAUUUAAAAGGAAGCAUAAUUUGUAUUUUAACUACAGAGACUUACCUGUCAUUGAUUAAGUCUCUCUCUCAGAGUUCCUAUCUUUGCUCUUAGACUUUCAGUGUUGAUACAGUGAGGAUAUAUUGCCACACUGGUGCCUUAAAACAAAACCUACUCCAAACUUGGAGGAAACCAAACAGAUUUGACUACAUUCCUUGAGGAUUCCAGGAGGUCUUACAAACAAACAAUAUCUACUUUAGUAUCCUCACACCUGGUGAAGAAUAACCUGCAGUGUUACUUACUGUAUGGGUUUUAAUUUCUUCUCUGAAAUGCCUGAUAUGCGAUGCAAAGUAUGAAACCAUUACAAAAGUAUGAUACCUCUGUCUUAAUCUGGAUGUAGUCACUACUGGUCAAAAAAGAGAGACUGCCCAUGCAGACUUGCUCUAUUCUGCUGGCAUAUGGCAUCAUGCCAGAUGGAAGCAAUUUUUAUUAAUUUUAUAAUAUAUGCAUCAUAUCUGUGCAAAGCAGCACAACAUUGCCAGAGACUGCAGGUGGUGGUUUGAGCUAUUAUUUGGUGCCUUGUGAAAAUGAUUUUUUGAGCAAAACUCUUUCAAGCUAGCAGGAAAACAGGCAAUUCAGUUAUCUUAAUAUGAUUAUGUAUUCCUCCUAAAAACUAGACUUCUCUCGACAAGAAAAGAGAAAAAUAUAAUAAUCUUUGUAAUUUGUAGAUAGUAAGAGAAUAAUUUGCAUUUUGCUGGUUUAGAAUGUUUAGAAUUUAAAUUGAAUAAAAUUUCUGUAAGUCUCCUUGGGCUCAGUAUAAACUGAAGAAGUUAAUUGGUUUUACUUCUUGGAAUUUUUGUUGAAGAAUCUUAAAGCACUUCAGAAGGAGCAGGUGCAGAAUGACUUUCUAUGAGAGAAUGGUAUUCAGUCAGCUGAGGAUCCAUAAAUAUGCACAAAGUAUAUUUGCAGUUGCUUAUAUGAACAACUACUUUUCAGUAUGUGAACUAUGGAAAUUUUUAUUCAAAUUGCUAUGAUUACUACAUUCCUUUUUUUCCCCACUGCAGUUUUACCUGAAAUUUUCAUAGUAUUGAACUUUUCCUGCACCUUCUCUACAGAAUAGAUUAAGUUAUUCUAGAAUAAAUAAUUCAGUUGUGUUAAAGGGAAGAUAGGACAAAGGGACUGCAAGACCCUCCACCAUCCACUUAAUUUUAAAAUGGAGUCUGUAGAAAGACUGUGAAGAUGUGAAACUAAACGUAGCACAUUCCUUAUUUUCUCACCUUGAAAUUUUAGUAUUGUAAGUUAUUUUUAUGGCAGUGUAAUUUCUCUAAAGCUUGCAAAAUAAUAAACUUCUUGUGGGAGACAGACAUGAAAGUUUUUUGUCCUUCAGGGGUUUUUAAAUGAAAGUUUCUAAAUACAUCAUCUUUCUGAUUAGACAUGAGAAAGCCAUUACUAUACUUAACUUAUCUAUGAAUGAAGUUGUUGAUAUGCCUGAAAACUCACUGAAUGUUAAGAGUAAAAAUACAAGCAAAUAUUUACCAUACAAUGUAGACAGAUAUAGGUAUCUACAAUAGCUACCUGACUUAUUUUAAGUUGAGGCUUACAGGUUCUGAUUCUGAUUUAUUUCAAGAACACAUUAUAGUUUGCAAAGUCUGCUUGGGACUGUGCUUUUAGGCCACUACUGUUCUUCUCUUCCAAGUAGAACAGUAAACCAAUAUCUGACUCUCAGUAAUAUAUGCAUCAUGAGCACCAAAGGCUUUCCUUAACGGAAUACUUGUAAAUAAACUCUGGCAUUUUAAUACUUCUGACUUUACACAACAGUGAAAAUUAAUUCAGUAUUUCUUUUACCUACAUCAAUUUUUUUGAUCAUUGAAGCUCUUAAAAUGCCUCUUUUAAAUCAGAACUUUGAGUGCAAGUAGUUGAAAAUAUGUAAUAAAUGUUAUGGAUUAUUAAUAUUUAAGAGAUGAGUGAUCCUCCCAGGAAAAAGUGAAACAAGUAUAACCCCUUUUCCUGUAUGCCAGCUGACCAUGAACAGCCUUACAGUCUCCUUAUGCACACCUAUUAAGUUCAUAACAAAGAAAAUCUUCCUCUGAGUCACUUGAAAUUACUAUAUUUUUUAAAAAUUGCUAUUCAUACAUAUCAAAUAUCUAACUAAUUCAAAACACCGAUUGCCACUACACAGUUUCACAAGAAAAACAAAUAAUUUGAAGUCACAAUCACUGUAAAAACCACAAAAACUAUUAGCAUGGGGAAGUAACAUCUGGUAGCACCAAUAAAAACAGGUAUUGAAACAUAAACUCUCCCUUAACUUCUCCUCCCCUCCGCCAAGCAGGCAGCUGCCAUGAAUCUGGAUAACACACCAUACAAAAAGGAGACCACAGUGUCGUUGCAUUCAUGUUAAAACCACCUCUUCAUUCAAAAUAUUGACAGGGGCAGUUGUAGUCACAGAGGAAACCCUUAGGCUUGGCUGGACUCACACGGAAUGGCUGGUCACCAGCAUCACAGGAAAUUUUUUAUGGUAUCACAUACUAGAUCGGACAACUGGCAGAAAGAAGGAAUUAUCUUAUGGUAAGUUAGGUAUGCCAGUUAGUGUAGCCAGAAUAAGAGCUGGACAGACAGUUAUGGUUUAGAGCUCAUUGCAGACAAUGGCAUGCCAAUACUGUGCUAAGUUUUGCAGAACUGGUAACUCAAAUCCGGAAAAUGUCCCAGCCGUGGAUGGCAGCUCUGAAUGUGAGGGAUACAUUUUUUUAUGGAAAGGGCAUAUUUGUACAUCCAUAUUUGUACAUCCACUUCUGGAACAUGACAAAGCAGAAUCUGUGCUUGCCUGGAGGAGAGUGCCACACCUCUUUAACAGACUUCCAUGGGACUAUAAGUGUUCACCCAUGAUUGCACCCACUGCACUUGCUGACUUCUUAGGAACAGUCUCACUUUCUCUGGAUAUUUGGAUAGGAGGAGAACCCCCUGAAACUGUAGGGCAGCUGCAACAGCCACAUGGCAAGCACUUUGUGAUGUGGAAGCUGAGAUUCCACCUGAAUCCCAAAGCCCUCUUUUUAUUUAGCACUGCUGGCUGCAUUUUCAACUCAGUGUAUUUCCUUUCUUUUCUGUUUCACAGGAACGUCAAAUGAACUGCACAUGGAUGAAUUAGCCUGCACCAACCUUGAAAUGUAUACAAGGAAUUUUUUAGGGCAGCAGCAAUUAUUGUAAUAAAUUGCUCUUGAAUGAAAUUUAAAGAUUGUCCUUAUGUCUAUAUCCUUGAAGAAAAAGGACAGGGUGGCAAUCUGUUUUGAGGUGUAGAAAAUUCUGGGUCUGAUAGUUUAAUAGCUUUAGAAAGUCAGUAAAUCUUUGAGUAUGGCUUUCAAACAGAAAAAAAUAAAAGUUCUGCAAAUUUUAAUAGCUAAAUUAUUAGAAAAUUAUUUUUGUUUAUGCUGACUAUAAAUUUUAGAAAUUUAUUUCAAAAAUAAAUAUAGCAUGGUAUGUAAUUUACUUGGUGAGAAGCCACCUGCACCAAUGACUAAUUGCUCAUCAGCAUGCACUUAAGCUAAUAACAAAGUGAGGGGAACUGAAUUUUCCCUACUUAAGAAUAACAAUGAGGUUGAUUGAUGGAUUAUUUACCCUGUCUGCAGUUCUGGCAUCCAUCUGAACAUGGUAUGCAGUCUUCAGAGUCAGGAUCUUCGACUUCACCUGUGUUUUGCAAAUCAUUAGUUUAAUUCUAGAUAAUGCAACAUUUGGAAGCACUCAGCAAGUUCCUGGAAAUAAACUUGAUUC
This is an RNA transcript of Passer domesticus (house sparrow), 7052 nucleotides long. It is a transcript of the gene named arylsulfatase family member K, with no coding region annotated. The transcript is spliced from 13 exons. NCBI's taxonomy places the organism in Eukaryota, Metazoa, Chordata, Aves, Passeriformes, Passeridae. The record is from RefSeq and is a predicted model, not a curated record.